CUUCCUUUUGGAAGGUUGAACUCCAAUACUACCGCAGACACGGCCUGGUUUGUGACCCUGGGCAAGUCUCUUAGUAACUUCAUCUAUAAAAUGGGGAUACUAUUAGAGGUCGUCUCCCAGGAUAAAAUGAGAUGAUAAAGCGCUUCCUAACCCUUUAAGGGCUCUAUAAAUGCUGAUUGCUCUUAUUAUUUUGCAUCAUAAGAUGUCAUCCUGCUUCUAGGUUGACCUCCAGACGAACCCCACCCCGUGGUCCUGACCAGUGGUUCCAUUCCGCGAUCUAGACCCCACUCCCACCCCUUCUCUUUCUCUCCACCAGCCUCCUCAGCGUCUGCCUAACCCAGAGGCCUUAGCGAACGGGGUGAAGGAGGGAAGAAGUGAGCCAAUGGGUUGGGCGAAGGAAGGCGGAGAGGCGGUGCUUUCACCCUAAAGGUCCCGCCCCCUUCCUUUCCUCCAAUGACGCUUCGAACUCGCUUAGCGGGUGUCUGCCAGUUUUGACCAAUGGGACCUCAAGGUGCGUCCCACUUCGCGCCCUCUGGUGGUUCCGCCAAUGAGUGAAGUCCCCUUCCCGCUUCCGUGGAAGCGUCCAAUGGGACGUAGCCUUUGGUGCCGCCCCGAGAUGGGUCCCGCCCCCUCUGGCAGCGUGCUUUGGGCGGCUGCAGAGGAGACCAUGGCCGGUAGGCUGUGGCUGCGGGCAGUGCUCUGCCACUUGUGGCUCUGCCUCAGUGGUACGGCCGCGCUGCGCUGCCACCUGGUGCAGCUUACCCAGCUGGGCCCCAGCUCUGGCCUGACCAUGCAGAAUUGUGAGGAAGAGGAGUUGUGCCACCAGACACUGCUGCGCGUGCGCACUGGUGAGGCCGCCCUACAGGUGUCGGGGCCCAGGCCCAGCCUCCCUCCCUCCUGGCCCCUCCUCGAAGCCCCUCUUUCCCCCACCCCCCAGCAGCCCCGCCCUUCCCCUCCCACCCCCAAUCUCCAGCCUCCUUCCCCAGCCCAGCCCUCCCCCCCCUCCCCACACUCCUAGCCCCUGGGCCCCUCCCCAUCCCCAUCCCCUUCCCAUCAGCCGCCGCCUCCCUCCCCCCAGGUUCCCUCUUUCCCCAUUCCCCCAGUACCUGGGCCCC
This 1115-nucleotide long non-coding RNA is filed under the name Phascolarctos cinereus (koala). Its description in RNAcentral is "lncRNA (ENSPCIG00000020858.2)". The record is from RNAcentral. Lineage: Eukaryota; Metazoa; Chordata; Mammalia; Diprotodontia; Phascolarctidae.